GCAGGUGUAGUUUAACAAAAACAUCAGCCCGUGAAGCUGAAAACAGAUACCGCAUCUCACCUACC
RNAcentral lists this transfer RNA (65 nucleotides) under Rena humilis (western threadsnake). RNAcentral describes it as "His-tRNA". It matches the Rfam family "tRNA". From Rfam's summary of the family: Transfer RNA (tRNA) molecules are approximately 80 nucleotides in length. Their secondary structure includes four short double-helical elements and three loops (D, anti-codon, and T loops). Lineage: Eukaryota; Metazoa; Chordata; Lepidosauria; Squamata; Leptotyphlopidae. The record is from RNAcentral.